This 1312-nucleotide ribosomal RNA is filed under the name metagenome. RNAcentral describes it as "bacterial SSU rRNA". It matches the Rfam family "Bacterial small subunit ribosomal RNA", at positions 75 to 1382 of the family's 1533-position model. The record is from RNAcentral.
GGGGGCAACCCUGGCGGCGAGCGGCGAACGGGUGAGUAACACAUCGGAACGUACCCUAUUGUGGGGGAUAACUAACCGAAAGGUUAGCUAAUACCGCAUAAGACCUGAGGGUGAAAGCGGGGGAUCGCAAGACCUCGCGCGAUAGGAGCGGCCGAUGUCGGAUUAGCUAGUUGGUGAGGUAAAGGCUCACCAAGGCGACGAUCCGUAGCGGGUCUGAGAGGACGGCCCGCCACACUGGAACUGAGACACGGUCCAGACUCCUACGCGAGGCAGCAGUGGGGAAUUUUGGACAAUGGGGGCAACCCUGAUCCAGCCAUUCCGCGUGAGUGAAGAAGGCCUUCGGGUUGUAAAGCUCUUUCGGCAGGAACGAAACGGUCUCUCCUAAUACGUGGGGCUAAUGACGGUACCUGAAGAAGAAGCACCGGCUAACUACGUGCCAGCAGCCGCGGUAAUACGUAGGGUGCGAGCGUUAAUCGGAAUUACUGGGCGUAAAGCGUGCGCAGGCGGUUUUGUAAGACAGAUGUGAAAUCCCCGGGCUUAACCUGGGAACUGCGUUUGUGACUGCAAGACUUGAGUGCGGCAGAGGGGGGUGGAAUUCCACGUGUAGCAGUGAAAUGCGUAGAGAUGUGGAGGAACACCGAUGGCGAAGGCAGCCCCCUGGGUCGACACUGACGCUCAUGCACGAAAGCGUGGGUAGCAAACAGGAUUAGAUACCCUGGUAGUCCACGCCCUAAACGAUGCGAACUAGGUGUUGGAGAAGGAGACUUCUUUAGUACCGCAGCUAACGCGUGAAGUUCGCCGCCUGGGGAGUACGGUCGCAAGAUUAAAACUCAAAGGAAUUGACGGGGACCCGCACAAGCGGUGGAUGAUGUGGAUUAAUUCGAUGCAACGCGAAAAACCUUACCUACCCUUGACAUGCCUGGAAUCCUGCUGAGAGGUGGGAGUGCUCGAAAGAGAACUGGGACACAGGUGCUGCAUGGCUGUCGUCAGCUCGUGUCGUGAGAUGUUGGGUUAAGUCCCGCAACGAGCGCAACCCUUGUCAUUAGUUGCCAUCAUUUAGUUGGGCACUCUAAUGAGACUGCCGGUGACAAACCGGAGGAAGGUGGGGAUGACGUCAAGUCCUCAUGGCCCUUAUGGGUAGGGCUUCACACGUCAUACAAUGGUCGGUACAGAGGGUUGCCAACCCGCGAGGGGGAGCCAAUCCCAGAAAGCCGAUCGUAGUCCGGAUUGGAGUCUGCAACUCGACUCUAUGAAGUCGGAAUCGCUAGUAAUCGUGGAUCAGCAUGUCACGGUGAAUACGUUCCCGGGUCUU